This 2931-nucleotide ribosomal RNA is filed under the name Escherichia coli. RNAcentral describes it as "23S ribosomal RNA". It matches the Rfam family "Bacterial large subunit ribosomal RNA". The record is from RNAcentral. Lineage: Bacteria; Pseudomonadati; Pseudomonadota; Gammaproteobacteria; Enterobacterales; Enterobacteriaceae.
GGGUUGUGAGGUUAAGCGACUAAGCGUACACGGUGGAUGCCCUGGCAGUCAGAGGCGAUGAAGGACGUGCUAAUCUGCGAUAAGCGUCGGUAAGGUGAUAUGAACCGUUAUAACCGGCGAUUUCCGAAUGGGGAAACCCAGUGUGUUUCGACACACUAUCAUUAACUGAAUCCAUAGGUUAAUGAGGCGAACCGGGGGAACUGAAACAUCUAAGUACCCCGAGGAAAAGAAAUCAACCGAGAUUCCCCCAGUAGCGGCGAGCGAACGGGGAGCAGCCCAGAGCCUGAAUCAGUGUGUGUGUUAGUGGAAGCGUCUGGAAAGGCGCGCGAUACAGGGUGACAGCCCCGUACACAAAAAUGCACAUGCUGUGAGCUCGAUGAGUAGGGCGGGACACGUGGUAUCCUGUCUGAAUAUGGGGGGACCAUCCUCCAAGGCUAAAUACUCCUGACUGACCGAUAGUGAACCAGUACCGUGAGGGAAAGGCGAAAAGAACCCCGGCGAGGGGAGUGAAAAAGAACCUGAAACCGUGUACGUACAAGCAGUGGGAGCACGCUUAGGCGUGUGACUGCGUACCUUUUGUAUAAUGGGUCAGCGACUUAUAUUCUGUAGCAAGGUUAACCGAAUAGGGGAGCCGAAGGGAAACCGAGUCUUAACUGGGCGUUAAGUUGCAGGGUAUAGACCCGAAACCCGGUGAUCUAGCCAUGGGCAGGUUGAAGGUUGGGUAACACUAACUGGAGGACCGAACCGACUAAUGUUGAAAAAUUAGCGGAUGACUUGUGGCUGGGGGUGAAAGGCCAAUCAAACCGGGAGAUAGCUGGUUCUCCCCGAAAGCUAUUUAGGUAGCGCCUCGUGAAUUCAUCUCCGGGGGUAGAGCACUGUUUCGGCAAGGGGGUCAUCCCGACUUACCAACCCGAUGCAAACUGCGAAUACCGGAGAAUGUUAUCACGGGAGACACACGGCGGGUGCUAACGUCCGUCGUGAAGAGGGAAACAACCCAGACCGCCAGCUAAGGUCCCAAAGUCAUGGUUAAGUGGGAAACGAUGUGGGAAGGCCCAGACAGCCAGGAUGUUGGCUUAGAAGCAGCCAUCAUUUAAAGAAAGCGUAAUAGCUCACUGGUCGAGUCGGCCUGCGCGGAAGAUGUAACGGGGCUAAACCAUGCACCGAAGCUGCGGCAGCGACACUAUGUGUUGUUGGGUAGGGGAGCGUUCUGUAAGCCUGUGAAGGUGUACUGUGAGGUAUGCUGGAGGUAUCAGAAGUGCGAAUGCUGACAUAAGUAACGAUAAAGCGGGUGAAAAGCCCGCUCGCCGGAAGACCAAGGGUUCCUGUCCAACGUUAAUCGGGGCAGGGUGAGUCGACCCCUAAGGCGAGGCCGAAAGGCGUAGUCGAUGGGAAACAGGUUAAUAUUCCUGUACUUGGUGUUACUGCGAAGGGGGGACGGAGAAGGCUAUGUUGGCCGGGCGACGGUUGUCCCGGUUUAAGCGUGUAGGCUGGUUUUCCAGGCAAAUCCGGAAAAUCAAGGCUGAGGCGUGAUGACGAGGCACUACGGUGCUGAAGCAACAAAUGCCCUGCUUCCAGGAAAAGCCUCUAAGCAUCAGGUAACAUCAAAUCGUACCCCAAACCGACACAGGUGGUCAGGUAGAGAAUACCAAGGCGCUUGAGAGAACUCGGGUGAAGGAACUAGGCAAAAUGGUGCCGUAACUUCGGGAGAAGGCACGCUGAUAUGUAGGUGAAGUCCCUCGCGGAUGGAGCUGAAAUCAGUCGAAGAUACCAGCUGGCUGCAACUGUUUAUUAAAAACACAGCACUGUGCAAACACGAAAGUGGACGUAUACGGUGUGACGCCUGCCCGGUGCCGGAAGGUUAAUUGAUGGGGUUAGCCGCAAGGCGAAGCUCUUGAUCGAAGCCCCGGUAAACGGCGGCCGUAACUAUAACGGUCCUAAGGUAGCGAAAUUCCUUGUCGGGUAAGUUCCGACCUGCACGAAUGGCGUAAUGAUGGCCAGGCUGUCUCCACCCGAGACUCAGUGAAAUUGAACUCGCUGUGAAGAUGCAGUGUACCCGCGGCAAGACGGAAAGACCCCGUGAACCUUUACUAUAGCUUGACACUGAACAUUGAGCCUUGAUGUGUAGGAUAGGUGGGAGGCUUUGAAGUGUGGACGCCAGUCUGCAUGGAGCCGACCUUGAAAUACCACCCUUUAAUGUUUGAUGUUCUAACGUUGACCCGUAAUCCGGGUUGCGGACAGUGUCUGGUGGGUAGUUUGACUGGGGCGGUCUCCUCCUAAAGAGUAACGGAGGAGCACGAAGGUUGGCUAAUCCUGGUCGGACAUCAGGAGGUUAGUGCAAUGGCAUAAGCCAGCUUGACUGCGAGCGUGACGGCGCGAGCAGGUGCGAAAGCAGGUCAUAGUGAUCCGGUGGUUCUGAAUGGAAGGGCCAUCGCUCAACGGAUAAAAGGUACUCCGGGGAUAACAGGCUGAUACCGCCCAAGAGUUCAUAUCGACGGCGGUGUUUGGCACCUCGAUGUCGGCUCAUCACAUCCUGGGGCUGAAGUAGGUCCCAAGGGUAUGGCUGUUCGCCAUUUAAAGUGGUACGCGAGCUGGGUUUAGAACGUCGUGAGACAGUUCGGUCCCUAUCUGCCGUGGGCGCUGGAGAACUGAGGGGGGCUGCUCCUAGUACGAGAGGACCGGAGUGGACGCAUCACUGGUGUUCGGGUUGUCAUGCCAAUGGCACUGCCCGGUAGCUAAAUGCGGAAGAGAUAAGUGCUGAAAGCAUCUAAGCACGAAACUUGCCCCGAGAUGAGUUCUCCCUGACUCCUUGAGAGUCCUGAAGGAACGUUGAAGACGACGACGUUGAUAGGCCGGGUGUGUAAGCGCAGCGAUGCGUUGAGCUAACCGGUACUAAUGAACCGUGAGGCUUAACCUUACAACGCCGAAGCUGUU